Molecule: ribosomal RNA, 497 nt
Filed under: uncultured bacterium
Lineage: Bacteria
Description: partial 16S ribosomal RNA
Rfam family: Bacterial small subunit ribosomal RNA
Source: RNAcentral
GACGAACGCUGGCGGCGUGCCUAAUACAUGCAAGUCGAGCGAACAGACGAGGAGCUUGCUCCUCUGACGUUAGCGGCGGACGGGUGAGUAACACGUGGAUAACCUACCUAUAAGACUGGGAUAACUUCGGGAAGCCGGAGCUAAUACCGGAUAAUAUAUUGAACCGCAUGGUUCAAUAGUGAAAGACGGUUUUGCUGUCACUUAUAGAUGGAUCCGCGCCGCAUUAGCUAGUUGGUAAGGUAACGGCUUACCAAGGCGACGAUGCGUAGCCGACCUGAGAGGGUGAUCGGCCACACUGGAACUGAGACACGGUCCAGACUCCUACGGGAGGCAGCAGUAGGGAAUCUUCCGCAAUGGGCGAAAGCCUGACGGAGCAACGCCGCGUGAGUGAUGAAGGUCUUCGGAUCGUAAAACUCUGUUAUUAGGGAAGAACAAAUGUGUAAGUAACUAUGCACGUCUUGACGGUACCUAAUCAGAAAGCCACGGCUAACUACGUG